RNAcentral lists this ribosomal RNA (429 nucleotides) under Actinomycetes bacterium. Its description in RNAcentral is "Actinobacteria bacterium partial 16S ribosomal RNA". It matches the Rfam family "Bacterial small subunit ribosomal RNA", at positions 355 to 776 of the family's 1533-position model. Lineage: Bacteria; Bacillati; Actinomycetota; Actinomycetes. The record is from RNAcentral.
UAGGGAAUCUUCCGCAAUGGGCGAAAGCUUGACGGAGCAACGCCGCGUGAGUGAUGAAGGUCUUCGGAUCGUAAAACUCUGUUAUUAGGGAAGAACAAAUGUGUAAGUAAGUAUGCACGUCUUGACGGUACCUAAUCAGAAAGCCACGGCUAACUACGUGCCAGCAGCCGCGGUAAUACGUAGGUGGCAAGCGUUAUCCGGAAUUAUUGGGCGUAAAGCGCGCGUAGGCGGUUUUUUAAGUCUGAUGUGAAAGCCCACGGCUCAACCGUGGAGGGUCAUUGGAAACUGGAAAACUUGAGUGCAGAAGAGGAAAGUGGAAUUCCAUGUGUAGCGGUGAAAUGCGCAGAGAUAUGGAGGAACACCAGUGGCGAAGGCGACUUUCUGGUCUGUAACUGACGCUGAUGUGCGAAAGCGUGGGGAUCAAACAGG